AUUGAACGCUGGCGGCAUGCUUUACACAUGCAAGUCGAACGGUAACAGGCCGCAAGGUGCUGACGAGUGGCGAACGGGUGAGUAAUGCAUCGGAACGUGCCCAGGCGUGGGGGAUAACGCAGCGAAAGCUGUGAUAAUACCGCAUACGAUCGAUGGAUAAAAGCGGGGGACCGUAAGGCCUCGCGCGAUUGGACCGGCCGAUGUCAGAUUAGGUAGUUGGUGGGGUAAAGGCCCACCAAGCCAACGAUCUGUAGCUGGUCUGAGAGGACGACCAGCCACACUGGGACUGAGACACGGCCCAGACUCCUACGGGAGGCAGCAGUGGGGAAUUUUGGACAAUGGGCGCAAGCCUGAUCCAGCAAUGCCGCGUGCAGGAAGAAGGCCUUCGGGUUGUAAACUGCUUUUGUACGGAACGAAAAGGUCUGGGUUAAUACCCUGGGCCGAUGACGGUACCGUAAGAAUAAGCACCGGCUAACUACGUGCCAGCAGCCGCCGUAA
RNAcentral lists this ribosomal RNA (498 nucleotides) under uncultured bacterium. Its description in RNAcentral is "partial 16S ribosomal RNA". It matches the Rfam family "Bacterial small subunit ribosomal RNA", at positions 29 to 523 of the family's 1533-position model. The record is from RNAcentral.